GGUGUAGCUCAGUGCAGAGCGCUUGCCUAGAAUGUGAGAGGUUCUGGGUUUGAUCCCCAGCACC
RNAcentral lists this transfer RNA (64 nucleotides) under Heterocephalus glaber (naked mole-rat). The record is from Rfam by way of RNAcentral. Lineage: Eukaryota; Metazoa; Chordata; Mammalia; Rodentia; Bathyergidae.